GGUCUUGUGCUCAAUGGGAGCCUCUGUCUUGCAAUACAGAUGAUCCAGGUUCAAAUCCUGGGGAGGCCA
Molecule: non-coding RNA, 69 nt
Organism: Pelobates cultripes (western spadefoot toad)
Lineage: Eukaryota; Metazoa; Chordata; Amphibia; Anura; Pelobatidae
Source: the annotation of a GenBank genome assembly